Molecule: ribosomal RNA, 253 nt
Filed under: uncultured bacterium
Lineage: Bacteria
Description: partial 16S ribosomal RNA
Rfam family: Bacterial small subunit ribosomal RNA
Source: RNAcentral
UACGAAGGGGGCUAGCGUUGCUCGGAUUGACUGGGCGUAAAGGGCGCGUAGGCGGUUCGUACAGUCAGACGUGAAAUUCCUGGGCUCAACCUGGGGGCUGCGUUUGAUACGUGCGGACUUGAGUGCGGAAGAGGGUCGUGGAAUUCCCAGUGUAGAGGUGAAAUUCGUAGAUAUCUGGAGGAACACCGGUGGCGAAGGCGGCGUUCUGGACUGCAACUGACACUGAGAAACGAAAGCCAGGGUAGCAAACGGG